GCGGUAAUUCCAGCUCCAGUAGCGUAUAUGAAAUUUGUUGCGGUUGAAAAGCUCGUAGUCGGAACUAGGGCGCGCCCGCUUCGGUCAUGCCUCGCGCUUGUACUGAACGGACGCGCCCCGACGGUCGAAGGGCGUCUCCUGGGCUUCGUUGUUCGGGACCGCUGUUCGGCGAGGUUACUUUGAGGAAAUUUGAGUGUUCAAGGCACGCGCUUCGCGUGACUUCACUAGCAUGGAAUAACAUCGAUGGGCUCCUGCCAUCCUGUUGGUUUGAGGGCUUGGAGCAACGAUCGAUAGGAGUGGCUCGGGAACGUCCGUACCGACGGAGGAGAGGUGAAAUUCUUGGACCCUGUCGAGACGAACUUAUGCGAAAGCAGUCGUUAAGGACACUUCCUUGUGAUCAAGAGCGAAAGUUGGGGGAUCGAAGAUGAUUAGAUACCGUCGUAGUCCCAACCGUAAACGAUGCCGUCUAGGGAUCGUCGAGUUGGGAACGUCUGACUCGACGGCACCUUUCGAGAAAUCAAAGACUAUGGGUUCCGGGGAUAGUAUGGUGGCAACGCUGAAAUUUGAAGGAAUUGACGGAAGGGCACCACCAGGCGUGGAUGCUGCGGCUUAAUUUGACUCAACACGGGGAAACUUACGGGGUUUGGACACGGGUAGGAUGGACA
This 665-nucleotide ribosomal RNA is filed under the name Lambia antarctica. Its description in RNAcentral is "SSU rRNA". It matches the Rfam family "Eukaryotic small subunit ribosomal RNA", at positions 576 to 1245 of the family's 1831-position model. The record is from RNAcentral. Lineage: Eukaryota; Viridiplantae; Chlorophyta; Ulvophyceae; Bryopsidales; Bryopsidaceae.